Molecule: small RNA, 435 nt
Filed under: Vigna angularis var. angularis
Lineage: Eukaryota; Viridiplantae; Streptophyta; Magnoliopsida; Fabales; Fabaceae
Description: Non-protein coding transcript
Source: RNAcentral
CCCAAUCAUAUUUACUACAGAAUUCGUAAACUGGGCUAUCUAUUAGUUGGUACCUGGUCUCUGUUACUCGCUCUCGUUGCUUCCGUACAAUUAAGCCGAAUAGCGUUCUGGAUUAAGUCGCGUCGCAAGAAAUCAACAAAUGCUCCACUCUAACAAUGGGAAUUUGUUGCUUUCUGUACUUCCCUUGAUGCUUACCACAGGAUUUUUUUUUUCCAUCGUAUUAAUGCUCUGAAGAAUUUGGUAGUGUAACAUGUUGGAAUGUUCUUAGGCCCAAGAAACUGUGUGCUAGUCUUCUCAGGUGUAGACUCACUCCCUAGACUUUCACUCCCCGACUAUACUGCCCCUGCAUUUUCUUAAUAUGGCUGUUCACAUUUAUUUAGUUAUGUUAAAAAAAUUUGGCUACAUAGAAAUAGACUAAUUUCACGUUGGUGUUUC